Camelina sativa (false flax) is the source of this 662-nucleotide non-coding RNA. The record is from RefSeq and is a predicted model, not a curated record. Lineage: Eukaryota; Viridiplantae; Streptophyta; Magnoliopsida; Brassicales; Brassicaceae.
AAUUGAUGUUUGUUUGAUUUUUGUCACAUCCUCCUUUACUCUGAUUCUGCAAAAAAAGAAUGGACUGUUGGAUAAAUUCUCUUAAGAUGCAAGAAAAGAAGCUUCACUUCUCCACCAAAUAAAAGUUUCAAUCUUUUUUUCUUGUUAGGGUUUCCUCUCUCUUUUCUUUGGGAUAUUUCAAUCGGAGGAGAGAUAUCAAAAAAAUGAUAGAUUUCAGUCGAGUCCAGAAAGAGCUUCAAGAUUGCAGCAGAGACAACGAUUUUUUCGGAUAUCCGGGUCAGCCCGAAAGCCGAUAAUCUCACCCGACUCACCAGAACCAUCCCUGGUCCUAUCGGUACUCCUUACGAAGGCGGAACCUUUCAGAUCGAUAUCACCAUGCCAGAAGGGUAUCCAUUUGAGCCUCCAACCAGAGUUUGAGAACUUAAGCUUGGUACUACAGAAGUUCAUAUGAGCAAGGCCUCACUAGAGAAGAUUCAACAUCCGGGCUUUACUAUGAUUGUUCUGCGCACAUGGUUUGGGUUGGAGAACGAACUCGCCAACUUGAUGGUGCUCAUGUUGAGUUUCUGAGGGGAAUAGCUAACCCUCUUGGAAUCAAGGUGAGUGAUAAAAUGGUCCCUAGUGAACUGGUUAAGCUGAUAGAGAUACUAAACCCUCAGAACAAG